RNAcentral lists this ribosomal RNA (365 nucleotides) under uncultured bacterium. Its description in RNAcentral is "SSU rRNA". It matches the Rfam family "Bacterial small subunit ribosomal RNA", at positions 26 to 370 of the family's 1533-position model. The record is from RNAcentral.
AGAACGAACGCUGGCGGCGUGGAUAAGACAUGCAAGUCGAGCGCUGAUUAAGGGGUAGCAAUAUCUCUUGAUUGGAGCGGCGCAAGGGUGCGUAACACGUGGGUAAUUUGCCAUGAAGUUGGGGAUAACUUGCUGAAAGGCGAGCUAAUACCGAAUGUGGCCCGAGGAAGGCAUCUUUCUUUGGCUAAAGCUGGGGACCGCAAGGCCUGACGCUUCAUGAUGAACCCGCGGCCUAUCAGCUAGUUGGCGGGGUAACGGCCCACCAAGGCUAAGACGGGUAGCUGGUCUGAGAGGACGACCAGCCACACUGGAACUGAGACACGGUCCAGACACCUACGGGUGGCAGCAGUCGAGAAUUUUUUCAC